Molecule: unclassified non-coding RNA, 495 nt
Filed under: Hevea brasiliensis (rubber tree)
Lineage: Eukaryota; Viridiplantae; Streptophyta; Magnoliopsida; Malpighiales; Euphorbiaceae
Source: RNAcentral
UUGCCUAAGCUAGGAUAUGACAGGAUAUUCGUGAGGAGACCAGUAACUGCCAUGACACAAAGAUAAUAUGCCACUAGAGAAGCUCACAGAAGAAGGAAAGCAAUUCAAAAGAUCCCAGAACUAUUUGACUAAAACAAGGAAACAAAGAAAAGUCAGUCCCUUUUGGGUAGCUGGCCCCACCACCCUAGCACCUAGCAGUGGGUGGUGAAGAAGGAAGAGAUGCACUUCAUCCAGGAGAAUUCAGAUUUACCAAAAUGAUAGAUAUAGACAGCCACAGUUAUAACAAUGACAAGGCUUAAGCUUCACAAGGCCUGCUUCUAACAAAAAUGGGUAUCAAACACCAUGGAAAAACUAAAUUAAACCUAAACAUGAAGAAUAUGACACAAUUUUUUGCUAUGAGAUGAUUGAUCAUUAAAAAGUCCCAUAGAUACUGACUGAAAACGAGCAAAAAAAAUCUCGAGGAUGCUUCAUGUUCAAAAUUAUGCCUCAAUAUGA